Anas platyrhynchos (mallard) is the source of this 150-nucleotide non-coding RNA. The record is from Rfam. NCBI's taxonomy places the organism in Eukaryota, Metazoa, Chordata, Aves, Anseriformes, Anatidae.
CUUCGGUGAUGAUAAGAUGACGAGUCAGAAGCGGGUGGCUCCUGCAGAGUGGUGCCCCUGCGGUAUCACGUCCUGUGGUGCUGCGGGUGGCUCUUCAGCAGGAGCAUCCCAUCCUCAUUGAAUGAUUUUGAGGCAUUUGUCUGAGAAAGG